GUCCAGCUCCAGCACCUCCCGAAAACCGCACCUGGUGGUAAAAUUGGUUAGUUGCAGGAAGAUCACACCCCGGAUUCUGACAAGAAGCUUCCAAAAACCAUAAUAUCAUCAUCUAUGCUUUCUCAAUUUGGAUGAAGAACCGAGUAAUGUCUGGUAAAAGGGAAGAAAGCCAGUUCGGAUGUCUCAGCUGAGCAGGUGGGAAGUGGUUAUCUGCCAGGAGGAGAGGCACACGGACUGGAACAAACAAUGAUGACAACGAAGACAAAUGUUUGCAUAAUGCACAGAAGAUGCUGCCUCAUUUUCCCUGUGAAGACUAAGCUGUCUCCAAAAAAUCAUGGGCUGACCAAGCACAACAGGCUUACCUUCUCUCAUGGCUAAGACCAAUGAUGGUUCGUCAUAUGGGUGAUGUGGCUUAGCUCAACAUCAGGCAUCUCAACAGGGGUAUGAACACUCAGAAAAAAAGAACACAUUUUGUACUACUUCAUUGCAUAUUCAGUCAACAGAGAGCAGUUACACACUUGUUGUUACUUAGAAUGCAUGAGGUGCUUGCCCAAGGUGCCAGUCAUGCAAGAACUGUCACUGUAUUGGGUUAACAGGACAGUUUGGACUAUCCAACCACAUCUAAGGAAAUCUGAUAACUUCAACAUCUAUAUGAGACUACUGGAUAAAUUAGAUGUUGCCUGCAAGCUGGAUCAGAUGGUCAGUUGCUUCUUCGCACAUGAUCUUGCUCACACUCUGUAGAAUGUAUUAUGCACACUCUAACAAUUUGGUUAUGCAUCUUUUAAAUCAACUUCAGUUUAUUUUAUGAUCAUGUUUCUAAAUUUCAUUUACACUAAUUCACAUUUUACAGAAGGGUGAAUUGUCAAAAUUACAACUUAUGCCAAAACCGUUUCUAACAGAAAAGCUCUUGUUUUUGGUUUCAAGCUGGUGGGGUCAUUAUAUCAUAUGAUCUUGUAACCUCCAGUAGCCAUUAUGACACAGAUGUCUCAGGUGACAGGAUGGGAGACUCAGCAUGGUUUGAUUCCUACAGGUGUUUAUUGUUCUAUAUCUGAAAAUCAGUCUGUAGAAUUUCCCACAGUAAAUCACUACCUUAAAAGAAGAUAGCUUGUUAGGCAUGUACUAUUCUCAAGGUGUUUUAUUACAUGAUGUUGAUAUUAGUUUUAGUUUUUGCAAAUAAAAUCCUUCAACAAACAUAAAGAUACAAAGGGAUACAAGGACACAAAACCCCAGUACAAGUCCAUCCAGCAUUUGUAGUUUAAAUGCAUUCCCCUGAAAUAAUAAUUGUGUAUCAAAAAUUGCAUGCAGCUCUUUCAAAUACAUGACAAGAAAAGUAAUUAUUUUGUUGUUACAGUUAACGUUGCAAUAGAAGCAAAUGGCCUGUGUUGUGUUUUAUUAUGUGUAGGGCAUUUGUUUUCAUUGUGAAUUAAAGAUAAAAUUAUCAUGCAAGAAAGUAUUGGAAAUGUCUGUUAUAAAUGAUUUCUGAUUAACAUAUCUAAACAUAUCUAAUAAAAACAACAAUAAAUAGCACUCAUGAAGACA
This is a long non-coding RNA of Girardinichthys multiradiatus, 1539 nucleotides long. RefSeq lists it as uncharacterized. Lineage: Eukaryota; Metazoa; Chordata; Actinopteri; Cyprinodontiformes; Goodeidae. The transcript has 4 exons. The record is from RefSeq and is a predicted model, not a curated record.